Molecule: ribosomal RNA, 317 nt
Filed under: Euryxanthops chiltoni
Lineage: Eukaryota; Metazoa; Arthropoda; Malacostraca; Decapoda; Xanthidae
Description: partial large subunit ribosomal RNA
Source: RNAcentral
AUUAAUAGUUAUGUUCUAAAAAUUUAAAGAAUUUGGCGGUGAUUUAGUCUUGUUAGAGGAACCUGUUUUUGAAUCGAUACACCACGCAAAAUCUUACUCGUUUUAUUAAAGUAGUUUAUAUACCGUCAUUAUCAGAUAAUUUUUAAAAAAUAUAAUUAUUAGAGUUUAAUAAAGUUAAGUGAAAUUAGAUCAAGGUGUAGCUAAUAAAUGAGUUUAAAUGGGUUACAAUAAAUUCUUAUUUAGUACGGAGUAGAGCAGGAAAAAUUCUAUAAAGGGGGAUUUAAUUGUAAUGUAAGUUAAUAAGCUUAAAAGAGAUA